Molecule: ribosomal RNA, 552 nt
Filed under: Fonsecaea pedrosoi
Lineage: Eukaryota; Fungi; Ascomycota; Eurotiomycetes; Chaetothyriales; Herpotrichiellaceae
Description: partial 18S ribosomal RNA
Rfam family: Group I catalytic intron (bases 1-290)
About the family: Group I catalytic introns are large self-splicing ribozymes.
Source: RNAcentral
CUCGAACUGGCGACACUGCCAAAUUGCGGGGACACCCUAAAGACCUUGACACCAAGCACCAUCGGAAACGGUGGUGUGGCCGAGCUAAUUGCCCUGGGUAUGGUAAUAGUUCAAGGUAUGAGACUCCCUCCGCCAGGGGGGAAAAGAAGUCGAAAUGGGCAAUCCGCAGCCAAGUCCUACAGCCUUCCUCUUGCCGGGGAGGCCACGGACGCUGUUCACAGGCCAAAUGGUAGUGGGUGAACCUAUUAGGUUCGCUUAAGAUAUGGUCGGUCUCUGGGCGAAAGCCCAGGGGUAAGUUUCACUGAAACCCUCCACAAACGUUCCGUAGGUGAACCUGCGGAAGGAUCAUUAAUGAGUUAGGGUCUCCUAGGCCCGACCUCCCAACCCUUUGCUUACUAGACCUCAGUUGCUUCGGCAGGCCCGUCUUAAUCUGACCGCUGGAGGACCGCCUAAUGCGGGUGUUACCUCUGGCCAGUGUCUGCCGAUAGCCUAAUCUCCUAACUCUGGAUCAAUCAUGAUUUACAAUGUCUAAGUGAUUUUAUUCAAUUAAAA